RNAcentral lists this ribosomal RNA (497 nucleotides) under uncultured bacterium. RNAcentral describes it as "partial 16S ribosomal RNA". It matches the Rfam family "Bacterial small subunit ribosomal RNA", at positions 28 to 507 of the family's 1533-position model. The record is from RNAcentral.
GAUGAACGCUGGCGGCGUGCCUAAUACAUGCAAGUCGAGCGAACAGACGAGGAGCUUGUUCCUCUGACGUUAGCGGCGGACGGGUGAGUAACACGUGGAUAACCUACCUAUAAGACUGGGAUAACUUCGGGAAACCGGAGCUAAUACCGGAUAAUAUAUUGAACCGCAUGGUUCAAUAGUGAAAGACGGUUUUGCUGUCACUUAUAGAUGGAUCCGCGCCGCAUUAGCUAGUUGGUAAGGUAACGGCUUACCAAGGCAACGAUGCGUAGCCGACCUGAGAGGGUGAUCGGCCACACUGGAACUGAGACACGGUCCAGACUCCUACAGGAGGCAGCAGUAGGGAAUCUUCCGCAAUGGGCGAAAGCCUGACGGAGCAACGCCGCGUGAGUGAUGAAGGUCUUCGGAUCGUAAAACUCUGUUAUUAGGGAAGAACAAAUGUGUAAGUAACUAUGCACGUCUUGACGGUACCUAAUCAGAAAGCCACGGCUAACUACGUG